AAAGUUAAAAAUGGACUAAAUUGAGGGGCAAAUUGAACCUUAUUCCUAAAAUAAACACUAGGUGUUCUUGUCAUUUUGGUAGUUUGUCGAGGGCAUAUAGGUCUGUGAUUUAAAAAAGAUAAAAAAAGACAUCAAGGGAAGAAUAAGGCAACUUCAGUGAAAGAUAAUUUUUAGCGACAGCGACACCCAUCAUAUAAAGAUGGUUUAACCCAACAAUAAUGGAGCAAUCGCUAAAGUUAAUUUAAGUUUUAAUUAAGAUUAAAUAAAAAAAAUUAAAACAUUCAAAAAAAAUUAUACUAGAAUGUAUAUACUUAUUUAAUUUGUAUUUAUUAUAUUAUAUAAAAUUACAAUAAAUAAUAUUAAAAAUAUAUCUUAUCUUAUAGUAUAAUAAUUUUAAAAUAUAAAUUAAAAGAUAAACCACUGUUUAAUUAAGAAACCCCUCUAUCAGACGGAC
This 454-nucleotide unclassified non-coding RNA is filed under the name Hevea brasiliensis (rubber tree). The record is from RNAcentral. Lineage: Eukaryota; Viridiplantae; Streptophyta; Magnoliopsida; Malpighiales; Euphorbiaceae.